CUCAACUGAUAAAAUGUAUAAAAUUUUACGAUGAGUAUUUUGUUAGUUGAAAG
This 53-nucleotide small RNA is filed under the name Caenorhabditis elegans. RNAcentral describes it as "Unclassified non-coding RNA F14D2.18". The record is from RNAcentral. Lineage: Eukaryota; Metazoa; Nematoda; Chromadorea; Rhabditida; Rhabditidae.